CGGCAGUUCCGACUUUGGGCACAAGAGGUGGAUGUUUUCACAGGAAACUUCCAACAAAUAUUCUGAUGAACAACUCUGUUAUACUCCAGGGGGACCAGCAAUUGUUCAUUUCCUCCUUUAUGUGUUGUUUAGUUGCAGAAGUGAUAUAAGAAGAGGAUGAGAUACAAAGAAACAGAAAUUAGGAUUUAAUAUGAACUAUAAUAACCUCAACUUCUAGAUGAACAUGGUCAGGUUCAAACUAAGGACCGGACUUGUCAUCCUUCAUUUGUGCAGAACUGACCUCCUUACUGGAUGCUGUUACCAGCCAGAACUGUGUAUGAAAGUGCUAUCUUUCCGUUGUUCCAUAUCUAACAUAUUAAUUCAGUGGCAUGUUAUGUCUGCUGACGAAUAUAGAAGCUUAGGUGGAGAUGGCUGCCAGACUGACUGAUAAAAGCAGUUACAUAUAUUGCAUUUAAUAAACGAUAUCAAUCUGCAAUAUCA
Molecule: long non-coding RNA, 480 nt
Filed under: Apteryx rowi (Okarito brown kiwi)
Lineage: Eukaryota; Metazoa; Chordata; Aves; Apterygiformes; Apterygidae
Description: lncRNA (ENSARWG00000008642.1)
Source: RNAcentral